This 79-nucleotide small nucleolar RNA is filed under the name Nelumbo nucifera (sacred lotus). Its description in RNAcentral is "Small nucleolar RNA snoR14". It matches the Rfam family "Small nucleolar RNA snoR14". The record is from Rfam by way of RNAcentral. Lineage: Eukaryota; Viridiplantae; Streptophyta; Magnoliopsida; Proteales; Nelumbonaceae.
GUGAUGUUAAUCAUGGUCUGCCAAUCCACUGAAAUUAUUAGUGUGAUGUUAAUCAUGAAUCCCGACAGGUUCUGAUCGU